UGGGGAAUUUUGGACAAUGGGCGAAAGCCUGAUCCAGCAAUGCCGCGUGUGUGAAGAAGGCCUUCGGGUUGUAAAGCACUUUUGUCCGGAAAGAAAUCCUCUGGGUUAAUACCUCGGGGGGAUGACGGUACCAGAAGAAUAAGCACCGGCUAACUACGUGCCAGCAGCCGCGGUAAUACGUAGGGUGCAAGCGUUAAUCGGAAUUACUGGGCGUAAAGCGUGCGCAGGCGGUUUUGUAAGACGGAUGUGAAAUCCCCGGGCUUAACCUGGGAACUGCAUUCGUGACUGCAAGGCUAGAGUAUGGCAGAGGGGGGUAGAAUUCCACGUGUAGCAGUGAAAUGCGUAGAGAUGUGGAGGAAUACCGAUGGCGAAGGCAGCCCCCUGGGCCAAUACUGACGCUCAUGCACGAAAGCGUGGGGAGCAAACAGGAUUAGAUACCCCUGGUAGUCCACGCCCUAAACGAUGUCAACUAGUUGUUGGGGAUUCAUUUCCUUAGUAACGUAGCUAACGCGUGAAGUUGACCGCCUGGGGAGUACGGUCGCAAGAUUAAAACUC
RNAcentral lists this ribosomal RNA (555 nucleotides) under uncultured bacterium. RNAcentral describes it as "partial 16S ribosomal RNA". It matches the Rfam family "Bacterial small subunit ribosomal RNA", at positions 355 to 902 of the family's 1533-position model. The record is from RNAcentral.